UACGAAGGGGGCUAGCGUUGUUCGGAAUCACUGGGCGUAAAGGGCGCGUAGGCGGCUUUGUAAGUCGGGGGUGAAAGCCUGUGGCUCAACCACAGAAUUGCCUUCGAUACUGCAUGGCUUGAGACCGGAAGAGGUAAGUGGAACUGCGAGUGUAGAGGUGAAAUUCGUAGAUAUUCGGAGGAACACCAGUGGCGAAGGCGGCUCACUGGUCCGGUACUGACGCUGAGGUGCGAAAGCGUGGGGAGCAAACAGG
This 253-nucleotide ribosomal RNA is filed under the name uncultured bacterium. RNAcentral's name for it is "partial 16S ribosomal RNA". It matches the Rfam family "Bacterial small subunit ribosomal RNA", at positions 524 to 776 of the family's 1533-position model. The record is from RNAcentral.